RNAcentral lists this transfer RNA (69 nucleotides) under Homo sapiens (human). RNAcentral describes it as "tRNA-pseudo Likely pseudogene". Lineage: Eukaryota; Metazoa; Chordata; Mammalia; Primates; Hominidae. The record is from RNAcentral.
AUCAUAUAGUGGUUAAGAGAGUGGGCUCUAGAACCAGAAUUCCUGGGUUCAAAACUCAGCCACUCUGCU